CAGACCCAGAGCCCGAAGAACCUCUCCGGGCAUCCUUUCAGGCUCAUCUCGGGACCGGACUGCGAGGCAGGCGGGCGGACAGGCUUUGAAAUAACCGGCGGCUUUACCUCGACUCUCUUAUGCGGUCUCUAAAACCAAGACGACUUUGCUGCAUCUGUCCUACAAAGUGCCAUGGCUAGAAAAACGGACAUCCCCUCCUCUUACUAUGGUGAACCACGCAAGUUUGACCCAAACUUCAGAGGGCCUGUCCAAAACAGGAGCUGCACUGAUGUGGUUUGCUGUGUCAUCUUCGUCAUUGUCAUCCUCGGCU
RNAcentral lists this long non-coding RNA (310 nucleotides) under Salarias fasciatus (jewelled blenny). RNAcentral describes it as "lncRNA (ENSSFAG00005018243.1)". The record is from RNAcentral. Lineage: Eukaryota; Metazoa; Chordata; Actinopteri; Blenniiformes; Blenniidae.